GAUGAACGCUAGCUACAGGCUUAACACAUGCAAGUCGAGGGGAAACGACAUCGAAAGCUUGCUUUUGAUGGGCGUCGACCGGCGCACGGGUGAGUAACGCGUAUCCAACCUGCCCAUCACUUGGGAAUAACCUUGCGAAAGUAAGACUAAUACCCAAUGAUAUCCCACGAAGGCAUCGGAAUGGGAUUAAAGAUUUAUCGGUGAUGGAUGGGGAUGCGUCUGAUUAGCUUGUUGGCGGGGUAACGGCCCACCAAGGCAACGAUCAGUAGGGGUUCUGAGAGGAAGGUCCCCCACAUUGGAACUGAGACACGGUCCAAACUCCUACGGGAGGCAGCAGUGAGGAAUAUUGGUCAAUGGGCGAGAGCCUGAACCAGCCAAGUAGCGUGCAGGAAGACGGCCCUAUGGGUUGUAAACUGCUUUUAUAAGGGAAUAAAGUGGGUCACGUGUGACUUUUUGCAUGUACCUUAUGAAUAAGGACCGGCUAAGUCCGUG
Molecule: ribosomal RNA, 492 nt
Filed under: uncultured bacterium
Lineage: Bacteria
Description: partial 16S ribosomal RNA
Rfam family: Bacterial small subunit ribosomal RNA
Source: RNAcentral